Molecule: long non-coding RNA, 20316 nt
Organism: Peromyscus californicus insignis
Lineage: Eukaryota; Metazoa; Chordata; Mammalia; Rodentia; Cricetidae
Exons: 4
Source: RefSeq, a predicted model, not a curated record
GCCAGUUUCCAUCACGGCCGCCAUCUCCCUCCCUCCCACCCCGUCACCUCAUCCCACCGUGUCAGAGCCGGGACUCCAGACUGUAUCACCGUCUCCCUUCACUGAUUCAGCACAGCCAGGGCUUCUGAUGCACCUGCAGACAAAAAGAAGAAUUCGAAGAAUAACCAGGCUGCCGGACGUCGGGUGCUCAUGAGUUUAUAACAAGAUGACCAGACACCCCAUGAGGAGACUAUCAGGCCUCUGAGAGAGGAGACGCAAAGGAUGGAUGCCAGGGGGGCUGUCAUGGAGAGAAGAGACACAAGCCCAGAGAGGCUGCGCUCCUUGCUCAAGGUUGCACAGGAGUUGGUAAGAACACAGAUAUCCUGCCUACCAGUGUUUUUGUUCUUGGCUUGAACCUGGCAGAUCGAGAGACUUCUGAGCCUCCAUGGUUUCAAGAUCCAAUUUUUCUCCAUCCCUCGCUCCUCACCACGAGACAUUGGAUAAAAUGGAGAAAGUGCGCUAAGCAUAUGUUUUCAUUUACUCAUCACUUUCCGAUUGUGAAUGAGAUGUGACUCUUUCUCAGAAGUGGCCUCCUCCAAGUGGUAGGGACAAAGGUUCCUUGCCUAAGGAAAGGAUGACCCCUUCUGAGACAGUUGCUAUACUUCUAGACCUGUAACUAGAUUCAAGUCCCUAUAAAGCCGGGGUACACAACGUGAUGCACAGGGAUGGGAACACGCUGUAUGUACUUCAGAACAACGGCUUAUGUUUUCUAAUCAAGCAGAAAUCUGAGCAAUUGGGGCACAUGGGUCAUAGAGUUUCAUCAGGCAAAAUGCAUUGAUAUGGGCUCACCAAGCCAAGAGCCUGCAGCUAAUGCUCCCACUUAGCUAGUUGGGAGGAGUUCCAGCGGUCUGGUUGGUUAGUUGGUUGGCUGAAAUGUGGAUCAAAAGACCUAAAAUGCAACAAUCUCUUCUUAAGAACGAUCCCUUAUCCAGGGAGUAAAUGGUUCAAGUAGUGACUAUCCUGAGUCUUAAUUUUUUACAACUUAAAUACUAUGGUGUAAUGCCAACAUUACUCAAAUGCUGAUACAAAGUUAGCCAUCGUCUGCUACAUUUGAGUGUUUCUGAGAGAGAUGGGUACUGUCAGUAGACUGAGGAAGGAUCUGCCCUCAUCCACAUGGUGAGAAACUCAGCCUUUAAGGGCUGAACAGGACAAGAGGCGGGUGAAGAUGCGUUUGUUCCCUGAACGGGCAUAACCAACCUUUGUCCUUGGUCAUUGAGGCUCCACCCCCAUCUUCAGACCUUGAGAGCAAAACUACACAGUUCACUGGUUUUGUUACAAAACAUUGACUGACGUAAGACCCAUCCUGUGAAUUCAACACAAGCGUUUCUAAGUCUCCAACAAUAAGACACAAAUUUUGUCUAUGUUGGAGGGAUGGCUCUGCUCAUCUAGAAAAGGUCAGGGGGCAUGUGAUCGAGCCGCCAAAGAGAUGAUGGAGCCAAAAUGUAGGAAAGAAUACUGCAAAGAGUGUGUUGGCAAGUUGAUUUAUGAAAUUACUAUUUUCCUUGUUUGUUUCUUGGGUGUAUGCCAUCUUUCGAAAAGGAUGAGUUGACGAGAUUUCUAAAACUGGAGAGGCAAUUUAAACGGACCUCCACCUUUCAAGCCUAGCUGUGGUAUUUGUCUUUUCGUGUUCUUUUUCUCCUUUGUAGUGGUUUUAGGCCCCCAAAGGCUUGAAUAUAUCUUGGCAAAUGUGAUGGUUAGUAUCAGUUGUCAACCUGACAGAAUCUACAGUCACCUAGGAGACCAGCCUCGGGCACACCUGUGAGGGAUUAUCUGGUUUAAGAUUAGCCUCUAAGAAAGAAAGUCUGCGAGGGAUUGUCUUGAUUAUAUUAAUUGAUGUGGAAAGAGCCAUUUUCACUGUGGAAGGGACUAUUCCCUGGGCGCGGAUCCUGGACUGUGUAAAAUGGAGAUAGAGACCUGAGCACACACAGUCGUUUGCUCUCUGCUUCCUGACGGAGAAUGAGACGUGGCCGACUGCUUCGAGCUCCUGCUACCUCAACUUAACCUUCUCCAAAGUGCGCCCCCCAAAAUGGCAGUGCCAUUGACAAUGUCCUAAAUCACAGUCUGGUCUCAGCUCAGGCUGGACUCUUAACAGAAGGAUUGCUGGUGGAUAAAAUCAGCAUUCCUCAGAAAAUUGUGAGGCUGGUGUCUGUCUGUCAGGAAGAGCCACCACUUCCUUUAUCUGCUUCUGCAGCCUGCUACCUCCAGCAAUGGGGCAUCUGGUUCCCCAUUAACACAGACCUGUAACACGUAUCGAAGUCGAUAGGUCCCAAGCUGUUCCCACUUGCACACUUCCUCCCACUGUUAACCGCUCCCCAUAAAACUGACAAGGUUUUCCCUACCAGUUUGCUGUUCUCUUUGCCCCCAAGAGAUCGCCAUGGCAGCUUGAAGUUCCUCCAAUAAACCUUUCUUUCUACCCAUGGAGUGGUCCAGUUCAGGGGUUUCUCAGUGCCCUUUUCUUCCCCUUGAACUGUUGAAAUAGACUAAAACUUUUCCCCUUUAAGUUUUAUCACAGCUCCAGGAGAAAAACAAGGCUAAGACCGUGCUGUUGACGUUUGUCUGUGAGGAUGGAGGAGGUUGCCUUGAGAUUUCCCCAAGGCCUUGAGUGAGGAGGCAGAGCCCAGCAGAACUUUCGGAAGGUAGAACUUUGGUGAGUUGGGAUCCCAAGGUCCUUAGCUAUCUGGAUAUGGGUCUGCUUGUGUCAAUGCAGGAGAGCACCCAGAGGGGAAAGCACCUUAGCAUUAUGCCCACCGGACAUUCCUAUCAGUGAGUAUUACUUUAACGUCACGACUCCUAUAAGAAUGUGAGCUUCAUGAAAACAUAAGCCAUGUUGGCAUAGCUCACCAUGUAUUCUAGAGCUCAACACAGGGCCUGGGCACACAGCUCUGCCUAGUAGACCUAUGCCACCCUCCUCCCCCAGUGACCUGAAUGAGUUCAGCAUCCUCACCCUACCCAGCACCCAUGUUUUCCAGUAUUUGUGUAUUUGUGGGGGGUCAAGGGGAGCAGGCUCUCUGACCUCUUUUCCAUGCUUGGUUCAAGGACCCCUGCUUUGGCUGCUUUCCGCCAUCACAGUCCUCCUUGACAGAGGUCCUAUCCUAGAAAAGAAGUCUCUCUGUCUGUCUCUCUCUCCCUGUCUCUGUUUCUCUCUCUGUGUCUCUCUGUCAGUCUGUCUGUCUGUCUGUCUGUCUCUCUCUCUCUCUCUCUCUCUCUCUCUCUGUGUCUUACCUUGAGUUGGGUCUUCCUACGCUGUUAAGGUUGGCCCCAAACUCUCGUACAUGAGCAAUUUUUCUGUCUCAGCCUCUUGAGUAGUGGGACCUCCACAUGCACCUCCACAUGCAGCUCUGUAAAUUAUUUAUUUGUUGGUUUGUUUGUUUGUUUUGAGGCAGGGUCUCACUAUGCAGCCCUAGAUAGCCUGAAACUCUCUCUGUAGACCAGGCUUGCCUCCAACUCACAAAGAUUCCCCUUUGCUUCUGCCUCUCGGGCACUGGGCAGUUGGCUCUUUGUUUUUAAAUGAUCACACACCAGUAGUUUAUUAUUAUUAUUAUUAUUAUUAUUAUUAUUAUUAUUAUUAUUAUUGUAAAAAAGAACUAAAUUUCUAAACUCAAAGCAACUUAUGUCUUAUGAGUUGCAGUAAAAUUUUACUAGAACAACAAAGACACUUAUUUCAAAAGCUUUUUUUUUAUUUUUAUUUUUUUACAUUUCUAUAAUUGUUAGGAAGAGAAGGGACAUGCUAAUUGAUGCAGCCCAGCUCCCCCUCAGGGUCCAGUUCUAGUUCAAAGAACACUGACUGUUUCAGUGUAUAUGACCAGCAGGGUGGGUCCGGGUGUCGGAUGAGGUUAUGGAAGGUUUAAACCAAAACAGGACUCUACCACUCCUGCCAGAAAAAAAUAAAUAAAUAAAAAUAAAUAAAAAACCCCAACCUCAGUCUCUACCACUCCUGCCAGAAAGAAAGAAAAAAAAAUCCCAAUAGAUUUUUCCGUUAAGUUAUUAAGGGAGGUAGCCUGUCCGCCCACCGUGGUGGUGUGGAAAGAAGACAUGCACGUUAGUUUACCCCUUCCUUUUGCUGUUCUCUCAAUGAUGUUGGACAGCGAAGGCUUUUACAGCAGGCGUGAUUUGCACACACACCCAAGAUACACUCGGGGAUGAGGGAUGGCUCAGAAGGGUGAGCGCACACAUCGCCAGUCCAACACUCACCAAGUAGCCAAGGUUUUCCUUGAGCUCUUGAUCCCACUCCCAAGUGCUGCUGAGAUUAGAGGUGUGUGCCGCCCCACCUGGCUUAAAAUGAUUCCUUUAAAAAGUUAGAUUCUAAUGAUUUAUGCUGUUAACUAAAAUGAUGUUUCUAUUUCUCUAAGUAUAUAUUUAAUGUUGUAUAAUAUGUUUUGGUUUGGUUUGGUUUUUUGUUUUUGUUUUUUCAAGACAGGGUUUCUUUGUGUAGCUUUGGAGCCUGUCCUGAAACUCUCUCUAUAGACCAGGCUGGCCUCGAACUUAUAGAGAUCUGCCUGCUUCUGCCUCCCGAGUGCUGGGAUUAAAGGUGUGCGCCACCACCGCCCGACUGGUCAUUAUUUUUUGAAGUUAAAAUAAGCUAAAAGUUUCAUUUCACUAAUUUUGAGCUGUAUUAAUAAUUUUAUCUCUGUAUUUUGGUACUCCACGUAAACAAAGUACAUCAUGUGUGGUCACCACAGUGUUGAAAACAACCCCCUUCUUCAGCAGAAGACACAGUCCCUGCUCAGAGGAGUGCACGUGGCUUAGCCCAGCGGUCUCCUGUAGCUCAGGAUACGUGGCUGAGGAAGACAGUGAAUUACUGACCUUCCUAUAUGUACCUCCCCGGUGCCAGGAUUAUACUCUUGCACUGCUGGGUCUGGUUUUCAUGCAGUACUGAGAUCAAACCCAAGAUACUGCGCAUGCAACACAAGGACUCUACCCAUUGAGCUACAUUCCCAGUCUGGAUGCAGUUCUUUCUACACUGUUUCUAGAGCAAGUGUCCCUACCCCCACGCUGCUUCUGGUCCCUGUGACUCGGGACAACCAGCCCUGUUUCUCUCUGUCUUCCUGACUACAUCCCUAAUGUAGGACCUCAAGGGCAGGUCCCUCUACUCUUAAGGGUGAUGAGUUAUGGGGCUUAGUACCUGCUCUUCUGUCAAUACCCAGGGACCUUAGAAUGGGGAGAAACGGGAGCUGAGAGUCAGUUAAGUCUUCCACAAAUGGGCCAGCUGCAGGUCAGGGUGGUUUCAGCUCCCUGUCCCCUGGUACCACAUGCUUGCUUGUUAGUACUGAAUCAGGACCAUGUUCUCACCCAUCUGGUUACUGUUGCAGGGAGUGAGUGAGUCCAUUACUCCCUGCCCAGCCCCUGGGUGGUAUCAAGUGUCACAUGUGGCUUCCCAGCUUACAGGACUUUCCCAGAGUGACCCCAGAGCUAGUCCUGGUGACCCAGCAGCCCCAUGGCUUCCCCCUGGAUCUGACUCACUCAUAAACACCCCCACCCUCUAAUUCUGCAAGCAGAGGGCCCCAUUCCUGGGAAGGCCCCCUGUUGCUGGCUAUUCUUGUAAUUAGUGACUGUUGAUUGGCCCCAGAGCCACACUCAUUAUUCCUAGUGAAGAUCAAAGCCAGGCCCAAUAAUCUGCUAAACAAGUUGUCAGAUUAGGGCAUUCUUCGGGGCUAUUAGAAAGAUUUUUCCCCCUGGGUAAAGGCCUGUCAGGGCAUAUGACCCCCAUCACCGACCACAAACUGAGCUAGAGGGGACAUUACGGCCUUUCUGCUCUUCUUCACUUGCUUGUGGCCAUUUUAUGGUCUGGUCCUAUGGCAGGGACUCCAACGUGAUCCCCUGGAAGGCCGCAAAGUAGAGAGGGCUUCCUCCCCGACAAGAAAGCCAUGUUUGAGCAGAGCUGUUUAUAACUCUUCAUCUUUGGGGCUACUGGAGACUCCCCUGGGCCCUUGUGCCUUACCUGUAUGACAGAUGCACAGCCUAAGUUUAUACUUAAAGACUGAGGAUCACAUUCUAUGCUGAUUUCCCAUCUUUCAGGGGCCAGCCCCAGACUGAUUUGUGUCCUAAUUAACAUUCGGUUCAAAUCUCCGGCCAUGGCCCAACUUUCUCACUUCAGGAGUGGGAACAGAGGCCCAGUCUUUAGCGUCAGUGCUCAAAGCUGCUGUUGGUUAAAUCGGAGCAUGCCGGGCACUGUGUUAAGAGACUAAAUGUUGAUCUUAUCUAUAUUGUCUGAACACAUCACACAUGAGACAUUGGAAACAUCCUCUUUAAUAUGUAAGGAGAGUGAGGCCAAAUAAUUUAGCCAAGCCACUCAACUUAGUGGUAGCUCUAGGGGUGGUUCCCAAUUGGCUGGACUCAGUCUUGGCUUGGAUCCAGGUCCAUGACCAGAUGUUGGCUAAUGAGAAAGUACUAGUCACAAGACUUGCAAGGGAGGCAUUUGGAGAUUUCUUUUGUCUUAGGUGGUUUGGUUGGAGGAUGGGGAAUCAGAUCUGCUGAAGCCAUUUUUCUCACACCAUCGAAGCUGCAGCUCUCGGAGGGAGGUGCAAUAUAGGACCAUGUGCAGCCAACAUCUUGGGUCUUUGGAACCAUAGUGUGAGCUGGGCUAAAUGCACACACACACACUGCCUCUAUUGUUUAAGCUUGUUUGAGUUGGGUUUUCCAGGAUUUUCAGAUGAACACCUAACACCCACACUACUGGUGAUAUUCCCAGAAGAGCCAGAUCUGCCCAUUGUUCUGCCCUUUAAGAGGGAUCAUGGGAAAGGCCAACAGGGAAGCUAGGAGGCCAUUAAAAGCAAGCAUGGCAGGCAGCCAUAUUCGAUGGUUGCCACUUGUUCCACUGACUGUUCAAGGGGCUGCUUCAGCCUGGUCACAGGAUGGCCUCACCUGUUCCCUCUAUAACCACUUUGCCUGACCACCCCAGGUCCAGGCUCUGUCCACCGCUCUCCAUAGUCUCCGAUCCUGCCUGACCCAGUCCAGUUCUGCCCUAGGCCCUAGCACUGGUUAGGAUUAGGGUUGACUGCGGCAAACAAUGUUCAAAGCAAUAGUGAUAUGAACAAGACAGAAGACCAUUUCUGCAUAAAAGAUGUUCAAAAAAAUCUUUAAAAUCACAUUAUUUAUGUGUAUGUAUGUGUGUGUGUGUGCAUGCACACGUGUACACCACUAUAUGUAUGUGAGUAUCAGAAUACAACUUAUGGGAGUCUGUUCUCUCCUUUCACUACGUGGAUCCUGGGGUUCAAACUCAGGUUGUCAGACUUGGCAGUAAGUAUCUUUACCCAUGGAGCCAUCUUCCCAGCUCCCGGUACUCUCUUUUUAGCAGUUUUUAGGGAUAGGGUCUUCCUAUGUAGCUCAGGAUGGCCUUGAACUCACCAUGUUUCUGCCUCAGCUUCCUGAAGGCUGGGAAUCACAGAAAUGUGUUACCACUCCCAGUUCCACAAAACAGUUCUGAAGGCGAAGGACCAGGGCUGCUACAGCAGUGAAGCUCUACAAAUCGUCGUUUGUACCUUUACUCCUUUGACAUUGAUCCUGCUUGCCAGAGACUCGUGUACUUUGUUUCUGUUUUUGUUUGUUUGUUUUUUUAUGACAGGAUCUCAUGUAGCCAGGCUGGUCUUAAAAUCACUUAUCUUCUUGCCUUAACCUCAUGAGUCCCAGGAUCACGGGCAUGAGCCACGAUGCCUGAUUCUAUUUCACCAUCUUUUGAAGAAUUAGCUUUUUAGUUUUGCUGAUAUUUGUUAUGCUCAUUUUCUAGUCCACUAAUCACUGUACUCUUUUUUUUUCUAGUACUUCUUUUCUUCUACAUUAUUUAAAUGUUUUUCUGAUUUAUACAUAGUGCACAGUGAAGUUUUACAAAUAGUCCAGGAGAAAAAUGUGGGUUACAGAUGGUCAAUUUCCUUGCUCCAUUACAUAUGAUUCUUCUACAUUUUUAAAUACACUUUUCACCAUGAAGUAGGUUUUAUCUGAUAUUGGUAUCACUCUUUGUGCUGAUCAGUGCUAAUUGUCAUCUUGACAGAGUCUAAGGUCACGUUGGAAGUGGGCCUUUGGGUGUGCCUGUUGGGGAUUAUUCCAGAUUGGGAUGUUGGACCGUAUGAAAUGGAGAGGGUGAGCUGAGCCUAGCCAAGUAUUCAUUGCUAUUUCGUGACUGUAGAAGUGAUGUGACAGCUGCUUCAAGUUCCCGUUGCCUUGACUUCCCCACCCCAGUGGGCUGUAUCUUGAGCUGUGAGUUAAGAGUGAAGCUUGACUCCUUUUCAGUUGCUUUUGUCAGAAUAUUCUAUCACAGCCGCAAGGAAAGAACCCAGGCAGUGUGCCGGCUUCCCUUCACUUAUCAUGAUACAACUAUUUCACCGUUUUUUUCUUCACCCCUCUGGGGGCCAUGUAUUUUCAUGAAUCUCUUGUAAACAGUGUUACAGGGAGAUCUGAAACCUUCAGUUUGAACAUCUCUGUCUAGAUUGACUGUUAUAGUCACCAUGGUAUCUAUUCUAUUUGGUUAUCUGGGAGGAUCUUAAGUGCUGUAUGGCAAAUGUGUUGCUCUGAUUGGUCAAUAAAUAAAACACUGAUUGGCCAUUGGCUAGGCAGGAAGUGUAGGCGGGACAAGGAGGAGAAUAGAGCUGGGAAGUGGAAGGCUGAGUCAGAGAGACAUCACCAGCCGCCACGAUGACAAACAGCAUGUGCAGAUGCCGGUAAGCCACGAGCCAUGUGGCAAGGUAUAGAUUAAUGGAAAUGGAUUAAUUUAAGCUGUAAGAACAGUUAGCAAGAAGCCUGCCACGGCCAUACAGUUUGUAACCAAUAUAAGUCUCUGUGUUUACUUGGCAGGUGAGAGAGAUUUGCCCUGACUGUGGGCCAGGCAGGAAAACUCUAGCUACAGUGCAUCUUGGUUUUUUGUUUGUUUGUUUGUUUGUUUUUAGGACAGUCUUGCUGGGUAUAGAAUUCUCGGUUGAUAGCCCCUUGCAUAGGCCCUUUUUUUUUUUGGUUUUUCGAGACAGGGUUUCUCUGUGUAGCUUUGCGCCUUUCCUGGAACUCACUUGGUAGUCCAGGCUGGCCUCGAACUCACAGAGAUCCGCCUGGCUCUGCCUCCCGAGUGCUGGGAUUAAAGGCGUGCGCCACCACCGCCCGGCGCAUAGGCCCUUUUUGCUUUCAAGAGUCUGUCUCUCAACAGUCUCUGGGGAUAGGUGGCACAACAUAGUGACUCUGGAACUCAGUUCAGCCUCUUCUUGGAGAAUUCAUUGGUUGGAGCUGCCGUUUGUUGAGUUGACUUUGUUGACGUCAUUGUAUGAAGUCUAUGUCCCCUGUAGUAUGCAGUCAUAGAAAGUCUCUGGUCAGUCUAGUGAUUGUUUAGACAUUUCCCACCCCUGUAUACACAAAAUAAGUAAAUGUAAAGUACUAAAGGUACAGUUAGGACCACCUUCUUCCUCUUAUAUCUCUCUCUGUCCCCAUAGACAGUGUUCUCAAGUCAAUUGAUAUCUUUUAUGUUCAUGCGCUAGGUCACUUUCUACAAAAACAACAGGUAUCCUGGAUGGUACUGGUGCAUACCUUUAAUCCCAGCACUCAGGAGGCAGAGGCAGAUGGAUCUCUAUGAGUUCCAGGACAGCCAGAGCUGUUACACAGAGAAACUGUCUCAAAAAAACUAAAGCAAGCAAGUAAACAAACAAAAAACCUAGGCCAUUUUGUGUGUUUCAAAAUGCAUACUAAUUGUAUCAUUGUAAUUAUGUUUCUGCAAUUUUUGUGUUGUUGACCAAAAUGUCUUCCAUGUAGCUCCAUUAAGCUCUAAUAUAUUCAUUUUGCACUAUGCAGAGCCGAAUUAAUCAGUCUUUCCCAUUGUUGUAACAACAUCUCUAAAGUCUGGGGAAGAAAUUUAUUUAGCUCGCAGUUCUUGGGGUUUGAGGGCACAAUGCUGGCGUCCACUCACCUGGGAUCAAGGCUGUUUCUGUGUGGAAUUACGGUAAACCUCUCCUUGCUCUGAAGCACAAACUUCCUUCAGGGCUGCUGAGUCCGGCAGAUAUUUUAGGGGGGGAUGGGGUAGGAGAAUGAGACAAAGUUUCUUUUCAUAGCCCAGGCUGUUCUGCAACUCUCUAUGUAGACCAGGCUAGCCUCAAACUCACAGAGAUCUGCUUGCCUCUGACUGAGUGCUGGGAUUAAAGGCACGUGUCAUAUGCUAGGCUUCGGGUAGGCAUUUUUGUGGGAAGUGAUCAUCUGAGAUUUGUGAUAGUUUGGACAGAGGCAGUGGAGAAUUUGGCCUUUUCUUUGUGAAAGUACAAAAGAUACUCAUACACACAAAAUGAAUACAGAAAAUAAGUUUUAAAAAGAAGAUAUUCAAAGAAGACACCGAAAAGCUCCUGGGAGGCACACCCAUCCACACAUCAACGCCUUUGCAGUUUGUAGCUUGUUCUUAGCUGGUCUCUGAGGCAGUUUUCAUGGUGCCUCUCUUGCUCACACCUGGUCCCUAUUACUGUAUCUGCCUGAAAGUAAUAAAGCUGCCUUUCUCCAAAAGCUCUGUGACGAGCAGGAAUUCACUGUGGCCUGGCCUUAGGUUGUCCAGACCAGCUUGCCUGACAGUUUCAUGGGCUCCCCAUUAUCUAUAGCCCUGCAGGGAGGCACAUUCUGUCCAGACAGAAGCAAUCCAUGGGCCUAUCAACUGAACGUGGGGUUAGGAGUCAGUGUAUAACUACGUCCAGACAGAAGCAAUCUGUGGACCUAUCAACUGAACAUGGGGUUAGGAGCCAGUGUGUACCUCCCUAGGCAGACACAUCUAUUUCGCCCACUUAGUGGCAACCUGUCAUCUGUCCCCAGGAAGCAAGUAUAUUCACACUGGGCACAAGUGAAAGUGUCCACAAUUGCCCAGGACCCUAGGUAAAAGCCCCACUCCUUAGUUCAUAUAGGAGGCCUGGAAGGAUCUUGGAGUUUGGGAUCCUUGGGGGCAUGUGAGACUUUCAUGGAGAGUGUGUGUUUCUUUUCUUCUGACUGACAGGUGGAGAGGGAUCUGCCUCUACCUUAAAAAAAAAGAUGACAUUUCAUGUGGCCUAGGCUGGCUUUAAAUUCACUAUGUAGUUAAGGAUGACUUUGAACUUUGAACUCUGAUCCUCCUGCCUCCACUUCCCUGAGAUGGACACGCUUUUACUCCCCCAUCCCAACCCCCAGAACUUGGACUCCUUGUUGGUCAGAAUCCAAGUCUGCUGGUACCGGGUUCUCCUCUGCGCUGCUCUGGACCCUUCCGUCAUCCGCUCCUUCUCCAGCUGUGUCUGUGGUGGCACCGAGGUCCCUUGUUUUCCCUUGGGUAUCAGGGAGACCUCCAUUUCCCUGCAGCUGUGUGGUGUGAUGCUCCCUGACAGCAGGCCUGUGUGCCUGAUCCUGACAUAGUGGUUGUUAGCAUUAGGUUUAGCUGUGUUCAGAGGCCGAAUAUCAGGAAACAGGCCUUCCUGAAAGGGCCUCCCCCAGUCAGACUGGUACCCUGAGUCGCCAGGCCACUUCCCUUAGGCCAGUAUUUCUGCAGUUGUCCAACCUGGUCUCCCUUGCUGAUCUGCCUGUCCCUCUCCAUUCCCUGGUUCCUUUAAGAUGGCCGAGCCGUACUCCUGACCUCCCAGGGAUCCUCCCUCCUUAACGGAAACAGGUACAUGGAGGCCAACACUCUCCCUCUCCUGCCUCUGCCCUGGCGUCAAAGAUAGAAAGGGCAGGAAGGUGGAGGGAGAGAGACCGGAGAAAAAUAAGAAGAUAGAUGAAAGGCGGAGAAGGAAGGGAGACAGGAGGGAAAGAGGGGGGGGAGCAGAAGAGUAAGAAGGAGAAAAAGAAAGGGAGGAAAGCCGCCAGUCCUUCCCAGGGCUACCACGUCUGUUUCUGUGAGGGCCAGCACACGCCAGGCCCACAGUGAGUGUGCCACACAAUGUGUGUCCUGUGCCCACCGAUCUGACCUGCCUGUUCGUUUCCUAGCGGGAGCAGGAAACCCGCCUGCCACACCGGCUUCCCCUAGCUUGGCUGGUCUCGGGGCCCACACCCUGCCUGAGAGGUAAACAGCAAUCUCACCAAGACAAAAUGUGGAUUGCUCCGCCCCGGGCUUGGAUUCACUUCUAGGUCUGGGAACAGACAAGAUUCCCAUCAAGAGCUCUGUCUAGGAGAGAAGAGAGUGAAGAGGUUUAACCUGAACAGCAGAUCUGCUGCCUGGAAACACAAACAAAUAAUGAGUGUGUUAAUGACUAACGAGGAGAGGUUUACAGGCUUUGAACACUUGUCAGUCAGCUUUGGAAUCUCUCCAAGGCCUGUGAGAUAAGACAAGCGUUCUUCCUGUCCCGAAUCUUAGGGAGGUAAGCAGGAAUGGAGGACGUUCGGGGAAGUAUCCAACUUUACACUCAUGCUCACUGCCCAGUGAGAAUCCCCUCCUCCUGAGCAGGACUGCCGUUGAGUGCCUUGCCCACUCAUUCCGGGUGGCCCUGGGCAACUAACAAAGCUGGCCAUGGUUUGACAUGUCUGCUUACUCUCUUCAUACUCCAGGAUGGCCCUAACAGUUUGACUGCACUCAGGUCCCAGAUGGUUCCUCACACUGGCUCUAGACAGGUCUCAAGGCCUGAAAGUCAUCCUGCUGGUGAUUGGGGACAGGGCAGGAGCAAUGGCCUUGGAAAAAGAGCACCCCGGGGAACUCCAGAUUAAGUCCUCUGCUUGUGAUCCACAUUUCCUUCAGUUAUAAAAGGGGCGGGGGCAGCCACAAGAGGAAUGAUAGUCUUGAUUUCUGAGCUGGGCGUGGUGCUCAAUCAUAUAAGUGGUGUAGGAAUUGUACGUGGCGGGACCCCCAAAAGCGGCAAUGGGGUGGCGGGCGGCCCAGUCCAUGCCGGCAUGACAGUGGGGGCGGCAGGUGGAGAUACACAACCCAGACGCUGCAUCCGUGUGGAAAUGAUUUAUUAUAGUAGAGAGAUGAAGAAGGAGAGAGAGAGACAGAGACAGAGGCAAGGGGUUCGAGAGGUGCACACCUGUGGGAGAAAAGCUAAAGAGAAGAAGGGAAGGGGCUGAGUUUCCCUUAAGAACAGGACAUAGGGUGGCGCCAAGGGGCAGGAUCAGAAUAUUAACAAGCACGGCACUUGGAAGGCUGAGAGGCUGAGGCAGGAGAAUUGCUACAAGUUUGAGACUAGCCUGUGCUACAGGGUGAAUCUCAGAGGAGCCUAAAAUGCAGAGUGAGGCCUUGCCACAAACAAACAAACAAACAAAAAAUGAAAUCAAAACAAGACACCCCUCCCCCAAAGCCCCUGGUCAUCCCCACCACCAUCCCUGUGGUCUUAGUUUCUCAGGCCUCCUGUGAGUCAGCAAGCCUCCAGAGCAUCCUUCAUCUGUGCGGCCACCAGGGAGAGACUGUGCAGGGGAGGGGAGGGCUGAGACAAAAGCACAGGACAAAGGGGCUAGAAGCGGGGUGUGUGUGUGGCUUCUAGCAUGUUCUCCAACCGGAUGUUUGUGAAUACACCUUCAGCCCUUUCCGUUUUCACUGUUCUGUACACUUAACCCAAGAUGGCCCCGGCCAGUCUUCCAGGUAAGGGAGCUGAAGCCUCGGGGAAGGGGCAGGAGUGGGUGCUCCGUCUGCCCUGGGUGCUGGUGGAUACACCCCACGGGGGCUGUGUUGUUAUACUCACUGGCUGCUAAGGGGGCCUGGGGCUCAGACAAAGAGUCGUUAGCAUGAGGCCACACAGAGCAGAUUUUUGUGGUCAGGUGUGUCUGUCUCAGCCCCACCGUCUGGAAGUUGUGGGACCUCUCACUGACUGAGUAAAGGUGCUUGCCACCAAGCCCGACGGUCUGAGUUCAAUUCCCGGACCCAUGUGGUGGGAAGGAGAGAACCUGACCUCCACGUGUGCACUGUGGUAUCUCUCUCCCUAGAAAUUAAUGAAUUGGAAAGUAAAAAUCAAAAACAACCUUACUGUAGUUCUGUUCCACCUGGGGACAGGACCAGUGUGGCCUGUUUGUUUCUGGACUCCCAGGACCAGGGUGCUUUGGCCCAUACACCCUUUGUUCUGCUCAAUGGCAUCAGAGGACACUGAAUUGGGGGACAAUGGCUGUGGCCCCCAGGGAACAGCUCCCAUCAACUGAGUGCAUCAACCCUCACACCGCCUCUGCUAUCCUCCGCUGCUCCAGACGGGCACAGCGGAUGCUCCUGUAGGCGCCCUUGGCUCUGUCACUUACUUGGGAGGCUGGGUCUCUCUGGAGCAGGCCUCGGUGGGGCUGCUGAUCUCGUGGUGGGUGUCAUGCUUGGUGCUCCCACUUUUUUGUGUGUCUGGCCCUGGACAAAGGGAUGUAGCUGGUCCACAGGUCAAUGCGGGGCUCUUGACUCUCUGCCUCCUGGAGCUCUGGCCUCUUAGUGCUAAGUAAGCGUGAAGCUUGGCAGGAAGCAUGGCCAGAUCAAUCUUUGUUAGCCCCACUAAACUGUUGGUUUGGUGGUUUUGAUUUUUAUUGUUGUUAUUAUUAUUGUUUUGCCUUUUUAUUUAUGUAUGUAUUAAGACAGGAUCUCACUGCGUAGCCCAGGCUGGCCUGGAACACAUUAUCCUCUUUCCUAAGCCAUGUUGGGAUUACAAGCCUACACCACCAUGCUUGACUGACCACCAAGGUUUUCUUUCUCCUGCUCCCCAACUUUCCCACUUUCCUGCUUCCGGGGAGCCUUUGCUACACUGAUCCCCCCUGGAGGGGACUCCUGAUUGCCUCUGGGCCAGCCCCUGCUCAGACCUCAGAUCUCAGUUUUGAAUCAGGCACUUCCACAGCCAGACCAGGGCCCUUUCCUGUUCCACUCCUGGUGUCCUGACCGUCGGAGUUCAGACAGCCGCAUCCCUAGUCCCUCACAUCUCUCUGGUUUCUCCUACCACCCACAAGGUGGAUGUUAAGUAUGGCUUCUUUGCAUUAGCACCUAGGCAGAGGGUCCAUCAGAGGGGCAGCGCUAUUUACAACUUUGGAAAAGACGGAGAUGGAGUGGGGGUGGGGCAGGUCACCGGGUCACCAGGUGCCCUCUGGGAGCUGUGGGCUGGGAGAUUUAGCCAACCCCGAGGUCGGGACUCUCUUGCCAGGACAGCUUUGCUCUCCCCGGUGGUUUUCAUUAUUUUUCAUUCCCAGACUAUUUUGGAAGCUGGCUGCCAUGGGAACUGAGUCUUUGGAAGGCCCAGGCCUCUUUUUCCUCUUCCCCCCAACCCCCCUUCCAUCUCUAUUCCUUCUUAAUUGGUUUUUAGUUCCCUGGCUUUCAGGCCGUCUGUUUAUUUUGAUUGCAACUCCACAGAACAAAUCUUUAAUGAACCAGCUUGUGGGGAGAGCCAUUAGCAGCCGCCUGCCUCCAGGGAGUAGGGGAGGCGCCUGGCCUGGGUCCCAGCCUGGACUUCCACUCAGUGAGGCAGCGGUGGCCAGGUACUGGGUGGCAGCCUGUGCAGGGGCCCAGGCUUCCUUCAGGUAUAGUCUGGAGAUGGGAACAGUUUGCCCUCCAUAAGCGUCAGCAGCAUUCACUGAGAUGACCUCAAUUGUUCUCUGAAACAGAACGGAGGGGUUGGGCUUCCCAGUUCCCCUGAGUCAUCCCAGGAACCCCAAAGGGGUAUAUUCUAAGCACCUCACUGUCCAGAAAGAGGAGUAAGGUUGAAGAACUGAGAAUCCUGUUAUCUGGCCAGCAAAGCUUGGUGGAAAGCACAGGUAAAUGGAAUAACCUCCUGAAUGUCACUGAACUGGCAACCAAUGGUCCAAACAGGACUCGGCAGGCCCCAGCCUUCUGGAGCGAAUGCCUUUGUCUGUGCUGUCUGGGCCUGACACCUUUUAUGGGUUUACUCCACUGCCUGGGUACUAUCACUUCUGUCCAGAGAGUUCUGCAAACAGGAAACACAUACAAAUGUGUGUUGCUGUUAAUGUGGGUGUGGAGUACAGAGUGAUCCCCGAAAGCUUCCUCACCUUGGACGGGACGAGCCCUGUCUUCAGUCGACCUCACAGGCCUGAUCAGCUGUCUGUUUCUCACUGACCUCAUUCUGCCCAUGCCACUCAUCUCAGGAGCAGAGACCCGGGGGUCACAGGGACAGGGAGCUCCCUUCCUUUAAGAUCAGGCCCCUGGACCUUCAGACUUGGGACUGCCUCUCUGAGAAACUCUGGCACCCUGAGAAACUUCAGCCUGUGCUCCAUGCCUGCCUUCUGUCCAAGAGGUCUUCUUUUCCUGCUUUAGACCAUGAACCCAUGCAAUUCCCUUGAACAGGAGACUCCCCUGCCUGCCUGCCUUCUCUGGUCCACAAGAGCCAUGGAUCCUCUCCUGCCUGGGAUCCUGUGCUUCCUAAGAGAGCAAGGAGGAAGACAAAAGCUGACCCUGGAGGACUACAGAGUGCCUGCUGACCCUGAGAACAGCUAACUAGGCAGGCCCUAGGAUGGACAUGUCUCUGGACCUCUGGUUACUUCUCAUCAUCCAUCUCCUUAUUUAAAUCACUGGCUCUUGAUUUUGUUUGUUUGUGUGUUGUCUGUUUGUUUUGGUUAAUUUUGUCUACCUGCCUUGCCUUGGGUUUUAUGGCUGUGCCAAGCUGUGCUUGUGCCAAGAAGAAAUAGGCAUUCAGGGCUACCAUGUAAUGAUUUGGAAGUCAUGUUUGGUUAAUUAAGCUCACGUUGUAGAAGCCUGGACGUAGGUGAUCUGGUUAGAUGUAACUGCUCUUACGAGUCACUAACAAUUAAGACUCCUGCUGUCCUUGACUUUGUUCUCAUGACCAUAAAUGGCCUCAUCACUGUCAGGCAUCACAUUUGAGUUCCAGGCCUGAAGAAUGGGAGAAGGGAGAACAGUUUACAUCAGCCAAAUCUGUACUUUUAUCAAGAAAACAUGACCUUUCCAAGAGUCCCGCCAUAAAAUUCUUUGUACUCCUGACUGGUCAGAAAUAGGUUGUGUCUUGGCUAGAAUUGGGGGGGGGGGGGAUUAGGCAGAGCAAUUUUGCAGAGGGUUUUAUUAAGAGAUGAGAGAGGGGAGAAAUGCAUACUGGAAAGAAGGAAUGGUCUUCCAUGACAGGAUUGGCAUCAGCAAGGCAUACAAGGCAGGAGUAAGCCCAGUGAGUAUGGCUUCCUUCUCCGAACAUCCAGAGGCUGCUCUGGGUCACCUUCUCCUCCCACAGACCCCUCAACAGUCAACCAUCAUGCCUGCGCUACAGCGUGAGUUUCUUGCCAGAAUCUCCCCGAGUGUGAAAGAUGCAGGCUGAUGCCCUCGUAUCCUGCCUCCCAGAUGAGGUUGCAAAGCACAUCUGCUCUGAUUCAUCCUCUGUGUGCACCCUCCGAGUUAGAAUAUCUCUGAUUCUUCUGCUGGUAGAAACUGUCAUCAUCUUUGGGGACAUCUCGUUCCCCAAGAUGACUCCGCUGUUCUGGACCUUCACUGCUCUAGGCUUUCAACUUGUCCCACUCAAACUCAUCAUUUGUCACGUGUCAAUCACUUCACAAUGAAAGGUCCCUGCAGGCUGACGGCACACCCUUGCAUCUGUACACUCAUGUCUUACACGCAGGGAAGAUGCUGGGUACGUGCCACGCCACUCUGGCAAUCGCCGUCUAGGUGCUGUGGGAGUGCCCUGGAAAUAUCAACAGAUUUCAAAAUACAGACUUGGGAAUUUGCUUGCUAUGAUUUGAAAAAUUCAAGGUCAAUAUUGAACCUCACUGGCCGGUAGACGACCUGCUCCUCCACGAUGGAUUUGCUGUGCUGUCCACCACAAUGUCCUCCGACAGUAAAGCAUCUUGGGACCUGCAGGGACUGAAAAAAACAAACAAACAAACAAACAAAACCCACUUGUUGAAGAUGACAUUGGACAGCACCCUGGAACAUCUCACUAUGACCGCAAUCUGACCUCUUGCCCUCCCCCAGACCCUGUACCACGGUCUGGAAGGAACUCUUCCCUUAGUCCUAACUCACAGAUCCUCACAUUUCUCAGAGGCCACCCAGUCCUCUCACUCUCUAGAGAUCGGGAUUCCAGGCUUGUCGCAACCAUGUCACCAAGAACUCUCGUGCUCUCACGAUGUGCUCUAUUCCCCCAUUGUCAGCGUUUCAAAGGGUCGACUACCACGCUCUAGAAACAAGAGAGGCCGGGGCGCUACACUCCUAGCAGCCCGGCCACGGAAGGAAGCAGGGGUAGGAAGGAGUCGGAUGUGGGAAAUGAACAGUGGGUCUGCUUGAUGCUAAAGUCCUGUGGUUUCACAUUCUAUCAUCUUCACGGCCCAAGUCCAACACGCGAGUUGCAGUGUGUGCACACCCAGAGAUGAUCCAUAUAGUAGGAGACCAUCCCAGGGACCAGUGAGCCCCUUCUGGAGGAUUCUCAGUCGUUACAUGGUUUUAUCUCUCCAUUGCUACCUCCCCUAAGACAGAGAAAUAGGCAAGAGGCCUCUGAGAAGAGGGUGUGAUUUCUGGAUCUGGGAAUGCUGGGAGGGAGCUAACCUCCUCUUGGAGGCAUUGCAGAUGUAGCCCUCAGCAUCUGUAACUCAUUUCCCUUAAAAAUGAACUUUACUGGGUAAGGAUGGGGUGGGAUGGAAAGAAAUGGCUGGCCGCAUGCCUCUGUAUUUUUGAAACUUUUAUUUUUUUUUAAUAUAGCAUGCAUUUAGUAUGAUGCACCAACUAUAAGAGUAGAUGUAGUUGAAUUAAGUUUCAUAAAAGGAACGAAUUUGCAUCUUACAUCCAGCUCAAGAAACAGGAUGUUGCCAGAGCCCCAGAAGCCCCCUUCCUGAGUCCUUCCAGUCCUUGUAUCUCUCUGCCUAGGGGAACCAUUACCUUGCACACAACAGUUUUGGCUGCCGGGUGCUUUACCCAAAUGAAACCAUAUGCUAUAGUCUUGCUUGUAACUGUUCAAAACUGUGUGGGUGAGAUUCUUCCAUGUCCUUGUGUGAGUUGUGGUUCCUACAUUCUUAUUGUUGUAUAGUGUUUCACUUUAUGGAUAUGUUGCAAUUUCCCUAUUUUACUCUGAUGGGCAUUUGAAUUUUUUUCUAGUUCUUAGCUAUGACAAAUGGUGCUGCCAUGAACGUUUGUAAGAUAUUUGUGUUGGGAAUGGAAUAACACUAACGGGGAAGGAAUCUAUUUAGUUUUGGUAGAUAAAGGUAAGAAGUUUCGGGGCUGGAGAGAUGGCUCAGCAGUUAAGAGCGCUGACUGUUCUUCCAGAGGACCCGGGUUUAAUUCCCAGCCCCCAUAUGGCAGCUCACAACUGUCUGUAACUCCAAGAUCUGAUAUAUAUGCGGGCAAAAUACCAGCGCACACAAAAAUAAAUAAUGUAAAAUAAGGUAGGAAGUUUCUAAGGCAGUUGCACUAACUUAUGUCCCAGCAGUAUGUAAGGACUCUAGUUGUUCCAGAUUCCUGUGGACACUUGGUAUUGUCGGUGCUUUUAUUUAGUCACUCAGUUUAGUAGUUGUGAAAGGGUAGCUCAUCAUGGCUUGGUUUUCACUUGUACUUCCUUCACAGGACUGUUGACCUUUGAACUGCCACCUCCAGGAAGGCAGAGAAAGGGUCAGAGGUCUCCGUGAAGGGGUGUGGCUUCUGGAUCUAAGAACGCUGGGGAUGUGCCACUUUGCUGCUUGAAGGCCAAACAGAAGGAGGGGGCCUGGGAGUGAGGGCUGCCAUGAUCCUGGGCCACAUCUGCAGAGAGGCCGUGGGUUGUCAGCCCAGGGGAGGCGUGGGCCUUGGUUCUGAUCCUUUCUAGUUUCCACAGCACUCUGGGCAGGGACGUCAACUUCUACCCGCGGCAAGUGGAAACAAUAAUGAGGACACAAUGAGGGUUCACUAAGUGGCAGGGAGUGUGAACAGUGUCUGGGCCAGAGGUAUGCAGAGAUCAGUCCUCCACACCGCUGGGCCCGAUGACUGACAGCUGACAGCGGUGGGGGAGGGGAAGCAGAACAAGGCCCGUCAAUCAAGCAGACACAACAGCAGAAUGCCCUGUGACUGGUGUGUCAUUUUCAUGCUGGGAACAUUGUCUUGAGAAAUGAUGAGUCUCACUGGUGAGGUAGCACCUGCCUGCCCGUGAUCCUAGCGUUCGGUAGGCAGAGGUAGGAGGAGUAACACAGGAUCAAGGGUAGCCUGGUCUGUAUAAUGAGUUUCAGGCCCGCCAGGGCUACAUACCAACACCCUGUCUCCAAAAGCAAAAUAGAACAGAAAAGAAAUAGCCAGUUUCAAGUUAGGCCUGAUGGCCCAGGCCUGUAGUUCCAGCUCCUUGUGAGGCUGAGGCAGAAGCAUCACAAAUGUAAGGUUUGACAGGUCUACAGAGUGAGUUCCAGGCAGUCUCAGCUUACCUCCAAAUCAAGAGGUAAAAAGAGAGUUGGGAUACAGCUCGGUGGUAGGGUGCUUGUCUGGUGUCUAUGAGGUCUUGAGUUUCAUCCUCAGGAAUGGGAAGAAAG